AUGACAAAAUUACACCAUUUUUGCCAUGGCAAAAUUUACUUCAUUUUUUUGCCACAGCGUACUUUUAAUGACAUGGCAAAUUUUAGUUUUUUUUCAUGGCAAAUUUAUUGUAAAGAGCAUGGCAAUUUUAAUUUAAAUAUGAUGGCAAAUUUACAUUUUCCGGAACAUGACAAAUUUUUACUAUGUAGCAUGGUAAAUGUAUUUGUAUUCCCAUGGCAAUUUUUAAUUUAUUUUCCAUGGCAAAAUUUAAUCCAUUUUUUGCCAUGGAAAAAUUUACUCCAUUUUUGCCAUGGCAAAAAUACUUCUAUUCACAUGGCAAAUUUUAGUUUAACUUGCCAUGUGAAAAUUUCCUGCUUUUUUACAUUUGUAUAUUGA
This 375-nucleotide ribosomal RNA is filed under the name Triticum aestivum (bread wheat). RNAcentral's name for it is "partial small subunit ribosomal RNA". Lineage: Eukaryota; Viridiplantae; Streptophyta; Magnoliopsida; Poales; Poaceae. The record is from RNAcentral.